CGGGGGGGGUGCCUAUACAUGCAAGUCGAGCGGACAGAUGGGAGCUUGCUCCCUGAUGUUAGCGGCGGACGGGUGAGUAACACGUGGGUAACCUGCCUGUAAGACUGGGAUAACUCCGGGAAACCGGGGCUAAUACCGGAUGGUUGUCUGAACCGCAUGGUUCAGACAUAAAAGGUGGCUUCGGCUACCACUUACAGAUGGACCCGCGGCGCAUUAGCUAGUUGGUGAGGUAACGGCUCACCAAGGCGACGAUGCGUAGCCGACCUGAGAGGGUGAUCGGCCACACUGGGACUGAGACACGGCCCAGACUCCUACGGGAGGCAGCAGUAGGGAAUCUUCCGCAAUGGACGAAAGUCUGACGGAGCAACGCCGCGUGAGUGAUGAAGGUUUUCGGAUCGUAAAGCUCUGUUGUUAGGGAAGAACAAGUGCCGUUCAAAUAGGGCGGCACCUUGACGGUACCUAACCAGAAAGCCACGGCUAACUACGUGCCAGCAGCCGCGGUAAUACGUAGGUGGCAAGCGUUGUCCGGAAUUAUUGGGCGUAAAGGGCUCGCAGGCGGUUUCUUAAGUCUGAUGUGAAAGCCCCCGGCUCAACCGGGGAGGGUCAUUGGAAACUGGGGAACUUGAGUGCAGAAGAGGAGAGUGGAAUUCCACGUGUAGCGGUGAAAUGCGUAGAGAUGUGGAGGAACACCAGUGGCGAAGGCGACUCUCUGGUCUGUAACUGACGCUGAGGAGCGAAAGCGUGGGGAGCGAACAGGAUUAGAUACCCUGGUAGUCCACGCCGUAAACGAUGAGUGCUAAGUGUUAGGGGGUUUCCGCCCCUUAGUGCUGCAGCUAACGCAUUAAGCACUCCGCCUGGGGAGUACGGUCGCAAGACUGAAACUCAUAGGAAUUUGACGGGGGCCCGCACAAGCGGUGGAGCAUGUGGUUUAUUUCGAAGCAACGCGAAGAACCUUACCAGGUCUUGACAUCCUCUGACAAUCCUAGAGAUAGGACGUCCCCUUCGGGUGCAGAGUGACAGUGGUGCAUGAUUGUCGUCAGCUCGUGUCGUGAGUAUGUUU
RNAcentral lists this ribosomal RNA (1060 nucleotides) under Bacillus siamensis. RNAcentral describes it as "bacterial SSU rRNA". It matches the Rfam family "Bacterial small subunit ribosomal RNA", at positions 36 to 1077 of the family's 1533-position model. Lineage: Bacteria; Bacillati; Bacillota; Bacilli; Caryophanales; Bacillaceae. The record is from RNAcentral.